This 232-nucleotide ribosomal RNA is filed under the name uncultured bacterium. RNAcentral's name for it is "partial 16S ribosomal RNA". It matches the Rfam family "Bacterial small subunit ribosomal RNA", at positions 118 to 347 of the family's 1533-position model. The record is from RNAcentral.
UGAGUAACCUGCCCUUCACUCUGGGAUAACUCCGGGAAACCGGGGCUAAUACUGGAUAUGACUCGAACAGGCAUCUGUUUCGGGUGGAAAGAUUUAUUGGUGGAGGAUGGACUCGCGGCCUAUCAGCUUGUUGGUGAGGUAAUGGCUCACCAAGGCGACGACGGGUAGCCGGCCUGAGAGGGCGAUCGGCCACACGUGGGACUGAGACACGGCCCAGACUCCUACGGGAGCA